CCUACGGGAGGCAGCAGUGGGGGAUAUUGCACAAUGGGGGAAACCCUGAUGCAGCGACGCCGCGUGAGUGAAGAAGUAUUUCGGUAUGUAAAGCUCUAUCAGCAGGGAAGAAAAUGACAGUACCUGACCAAGAAGCCCCGGCUAACUACGUGCCAGCAGCCGCGGUAAUACGGAGGGGGCAAGCGUUAUCCCGAUUUACUGGGUGUAAAGGGAGCGUAGACGGUUAUGUAAGUCUGGAGUGAAAGCCGGGGGCCCAACCCCGGGACUGCUUUGGAAACUGUGUAACUGGAGUACAGGAGGGGCAGGCGGAAUUCGUGGUGUAGCGGUGAAAUGCGUAGAUAUCAGGAGGAACACCAGCGGCGAAGGCGGCCUGCUGGACUGAAACUGACGUUGAGGCUCGAAAGCGUGGGGAGCAAACAGGAUUAGAUACCCCUGUAGUC
Molecule: ribosomal RNA, 440 nt
Filed under: uncultured bacterium
Lineage: Bacteria
Description: partial 16S ribosomal RNA
Rfam family: Bacterial small subunit ribosomal RNA
Source: RNAcentral